CCACAUAGACGCCUUCGGGGUGAUUCUGGUGGAAUGAGCGGCGGACGGGUGAGUAACACGUGGGCAACCUGCCUGUAAGACUGGGAUAACUUCGGGAAACCGGAGCUAAUACCGGAUAGUAUUUCCUUUCUCCUGAUUGGAAAUGGAAAGACGGUUUCGGCUGUCACUUACAGAUGGGCCCGCGGUGCAUUAGCUAGUUGGUGGGGUAAUGGCCCACCAAGGCGACGAUGCAUAGCCGACCUGAGAGGGUGAUCGGCCACACUGGGACUGAGACACGGCCCAGACUCCUACGGGAGGCAGCAGUAGGGAAUCUUCCGCAAUGGACGAAAGUCUGACGGAGCAACGCCGCGUGAGCGAUGAAGGCCUUCGGGUCGUAAAGCUCUGUUGUUAGGGAAGAACAAGUACGAGAGUAACUGCUCGUACCUUGACGGUACCUAACCAGAAAGCCCCGGCUAACUACGUGCCAGCAGCCGCGGUAAUACGUAGGGGGCAAGCGUUGUCCGGAAUUAUUGGGCGUAAAGGGCUCGUAGGCGGUUUCUUAAGUCUGAUGUGAAAGCCCACAGCUCAACUGUGGAGGGUCAUUGGAAACUGGGGAACUUGAGUGCAGAAGAGGAGAGUGGAAUUCCACGUGUAGCGGUGAAAUGCGUAGAUAUGUGGAGGAACACCAGUGGCGAAGGCGACUCUCUGGUCUGUAACUGACGCUGAGGAGCGAAAGCGUGGGGAGCAAACAG
This 731-nucleotide ribosomal RNA is filed under the name Terribacillus saccharophilus. RNAcentral describes it as "bacterial SSU rRNA". It matches the Rfam family "Bacterial small subunit ribosomal RNA", at positions 67 to 775 of the family's 1533-position model. The record is from RNAcentral. Lineage: Bacteria; Bacillati; Bacillota; Bacilli; Caryophanales; Bacillaceae.